AGCGGGGCCCAUCCCGUAAGGCUAAAUACUCCCGAGAGACCGAUAGCGAACCAGUACUGUGAAGGAAAGGUGAAAAGCACCUCGAACAGAGGAGUGAAAUAGUCCCUGAAACCGUCUGCCUACAAGCGGUCGGAGCAACGUAAGUUGUGACGGCGUGCCUUUUGCAUAAUGAACCUACGAGUUACUUUCUCCGGCAAGGUUAAGGGCUUCAGGCCCGGAGCCGAAGCGAAAGCGAGUCUUAAUAGGGCGUGAUAGUCGGAGUGAGUAGACGCGAAACCAAGUGAUCUACCCUUGGUCAGGAUGAAGGUUGGGUAACACCAACUGGAGGUCCGAAUGGGUAUACGUUGAAAAGUGUUCCAAUGAACUGAGGGUAGGGGUGAAAGGCUAAUCAAACUUGGAGAUAGCUCGUACUCCCCGAAAUGCAUUUAGGUGCAGCCUUUAUUUAGUAUAGCAUGAGGUAGAGCGACUGAUUGGAUGCGAGGGCUUCACCGCCUAUCAAGUCCAGAUAAACUCCGAAUGCGUGCUAUAUAUUGAUAAGGAGUGAGGGCGCGGGUGCUAAGGUCCGCGUCCGAGAGGAGAAGAAUCCAGACCAUCAGCUAAGGUCCCCAAAUAACAGUUAAGUUGAACUAACGAAGUCGGACUGCAGAGACAGCUAGGAUGUUGGCUUGGAAGCAGCCAUUCAUUUAAAGAGUGCGUAACAGCUCACUAGUCGAGGAGUCCGGCGUGGAUAAUACUCGGGCAUAAACUGUUUACCGAAGCUAUGGAUGUAGAAAUACAUGGUAGGGGAGCAUUCCAACGGCGUUGAAGGUGAAGGAUGACCUUUGCUGGAGCUUUUGGAAACGCAAAUGUAGGUAUAAGUAACGAUAAAGGAGGUGAGAAACCUCCUCGCCGAAAGACUAAGGUUUCCUGAUCAACGUUAAUCGGAUCAGGGUAAGUCGGGACCUAAGGUUAAGCCGAACGGCGAUACCGAUGGAAGAAUGGUUUAAUAUUCCCAUACUACUUUAUGGAGCGAUGUGGAGACGGAGAAGUGAAAGUCCUGCCAUCUGACGGAAUAGGUGGUUGAAGAGUGUAGAUGUAGAUUCCUGUAGGCAAAUCCGCAGGGAGAGUCGACCUUGACAGUAUGCCGCGUGCUUGCACAAGGCAAAAUGGACGUAAUCAGGCUCCCAAGAAAAUCCGCUAAGCAUAUUCAUAAAGUACCCGUACCGUAAACGGACACACGUAGUUGGGUUGAAAAUACUGAGGCGCUCGAGUGAUUCACGGUUAAGGAACUAGGCAAAUUGACCCUGUAACUUCGGGAUAAAGGGUCCCUACUGAGAGGUAGGGCGCAGAGAAUAGGUCCAGGCAACUGUUUAACAAAAACACAUGGCUGUGCGAAAUAGAAAUAUGAAGUAUACAGCCUGACACCUGCCCGGUGCUGGAAGGUUAAGAGGAGAGCUCAUCGCAAGAGAAGGCUUGAAUUGAAGCCCCAGUAAACGGCGGCCGUAACUAUAACGGUCCUAAGGUAGCGAAAUUCCUUGUCGGGUAAGUUC
Molecule: ribosomal RNA, 1529 nt
Filed under: human gut metagenome
Description: bacterial LSU rRNA
Rfam family: Bacterial large subunit ribosomal RNA
Source: RNAcentral